This 463-nucleotide ribosomal RNA is filed under the name Vreelandella stevensii. RNAcentral describes it as "partial 16S ribosomal RNA". It matches the Rfam family "Bacterial small subunit ribosomal RNA", at positions 338 to 795 of the family's 1533-position model. Lineage: Bacteria; Pseudomonadati; Pseudomonadota; Gammaproteobacteria; Oceanospirillales; Halomonadaceae. The record is from RNAcentral.
CCUACGGGGGGCAGCAGUGGGGAAUAUUGGACAAUGGGCGAAAGCCUGAUCCAGCCAUGCCGCGUGUGUGAAGAAGGCCUUCGGGUUGUAAAGCACUUUCAGUGGGGAAGAAAGCCUUGGGGCUAAUACCCUCGAGGAAGGACAUCACCCACAGAAGAAGCACCGGCUAACUCCGUGCAGCAGCCGCGGUAAUACGGGGGUGCGAGCGUUAAUCGGAAUUACUGGGCGUAAAGCGCGCGUAGGCGGUCUGAUAAGCCGGUUGUGAAAGCCCCGGGCUCAACCUGGGAACGGCAUCCGGAACUGUCAGGCUAGAGUGCAGGAGAGGAAGGUAGAAUUCCCGGUGUAGCGGUGAAAGGCGUAGAGAUCGGGAGGAAUACCAGUGGCGAAGGCGGCCUUCUGGACUGACACUGACGCUGAGGUGCGAAAGCGUGGGUAGCAAACAGGAUUAGAUACCCCAGUAGUC